This 2358-nucleotide ribosomal RNA is filed under the name Enterobacter ludwigii. Its description in RNAcentral is "bacterial LSU rRNA". It matches the Rfam family "Bacterial large subunit ribosomal RNA", at positions 591 to 2925 of the family's 2925-position model. The record is from RNAcentral. Lineage: Bacteria; Pseudomonadati; Pseudomonadota; Gammaproteobacteria; Enterobacterales; Enterobacteriaceae.
GGGUGACUGCGUACCUUUUGUAUAAUGGGUCAGCGACUUAUAUUCUGUAGCAAGGUUAACCGUAUAGGGGAGCCGCAGGGAAACCGAGUCUUAACUGGGCGUUAAGUUGCAGGGUAUAGACCCGAAACCCGGUGAUCUAGCCAUGGGCAGGUUGAAGGUUGGGUAACACUAACUGGAGGACCGAACCGACUAAUGUUGAAAAAUUAGCGGAUGACUUGUGGCUGGGGGUGAAAGGCCAAUCAAACCGGGAGAUAGCUGGUUCUCCCCGAAAGCUAUUUAGGUAGCGCCUCGUGAACUCAUCUUCGGGGGUAGAGCACUGUUUCGGCUAGGGGGCCAUCCCGGCUUACCAACCCGAUGCAAACUGCGAAUACCGAAGAAUGUUAUCACGGGAGACACACGGCGGGUGCUAACGUCCGUCGUGAAGAGGGAAACAACCCAGACCGCCAGCUAAGGUCCCAAAGUCAUGGUUAAGUGGGAAACGAUGUGGGAAGGCACAGACAGCCAGGAUGUUGGCUUAGAAGCAGCCAUCAUUUAAAGAAAGCGUAAUAGCUCACUGGUCGAGUCGGCCUGCGCGGAAGAUGUAACGGGGCUAAACCAUGCACCGAAGCUGCGGCAGCGACGCGUAUGCGUUGUUGGGUAGGGGAGCGUUCUGUAAGCCGUUGAAGGUGGCCUGUGAGGGUAGCUGGAGGUAUCAGAAGUGCGAAUGCUGACAUAAGUAACGAUAAAGCGGGUGAAAAGCCCGCUCGCCGGAAGACCAAGGGUUCCUGUUCAACGUUAAUCGGAGCAGGGUGAGUCGACCCCUAAGGCGAGGCUGAAAAGCGUAGUCGAUGGGAAGCAGGUUAAUAUUCCUGCACUUGGUGUUACUGCGAAGGGGGGACGGAGAAGGCUAGGUUAUCCGGGCGACGGUUGUCCCGGUUUAAGCGUGUAGGCUGAUAUCUUUGGUAAAUCCGGGAUAUCUUAAGGCUGAGGCGUGACGACGAGCCACUACGGUGGUGAAGUAACUGAUGCCCUGCUUCCAGGAAAAGCCUCUAAGCUCCAGGUAACACGAAAUCGUACCCCAAACCGACACAGGUGGUCAGGUAGAGAAUACCAAGGCGCUUGAGAGAACUCGGGUGAAGGAACUAGGCAAAAUGGUGCCGUAACUUCGGGAGAAGGCACGCUGGCGCGUAGGUAGAGGGACUUGCUCCCCGAGCCGAAGCCAGUCGAAGAUACCAGCUGGCUGCAACUGUUUAUUAAAAACACAGCACUGUGCAAACACGAAAGUGGACGUAUACGGUGUGACGCCUGCCCGGUGCCGGAAGGUUAAUUGAUGGGGUUAUCCGCAAGGAGAAGCUCUUGAUCGAAGCCCCGGUAAACGGCGGCCGUAACUAUAACGGUCCUAAGGUAGCGAAAUUCCUUGUCGGGUAAGUUCCGACCUGCACGAAUGGCGUAAUGAUGGCCAGGCUGUCUCCACCCGAGACUCAGUGAAAUUGAAAUCGCUGUGAAGAUGCAGUGUACCCGCGGCAAGACGGAAAGACCCCGUGAACCUUUACUAUAGCUUGACACUGAACAUUGAGCCUUGAUGUGUAGGAUAGGUGGGAGGCUUUGAAGCGUGGACGCCAGUCUGCGUGGAGCCAACCUUGAAAUACCACCCUUUAAUGUUUGAUGUUCUAACGUAGGCCCGUAAUCCGGGCUGCGGACAGUGUCUGGUGGGUAGUUUGACUGGGGCGGUCUCCUCCCAAAGAGUAACGGAGGAGCACGAAGGUUGGCUAAUCCUGGUCGGACAUCAGGAGGUUAGUGCAAUGGCAUAAGCCAGCUUGACUGCGAGAGUGACGGCUCGAGCAGGUGCGAAAGCAGGUCAUAGUGAUCCGGUGGUUCUGAAUGGAAGGGCCAUCGCUCAACGGAUAAAAGGUACUCCGGGGAUAACAGGCUGAUACCGCCCAAGAGUUCAUAUCGACGGCGGUGUUUGGCACCUCGAUGUCGGCUCAUCACAUCCUGGGGCUGAAGUAGGUCCCAAGGGUACGGCUGUUCGCCGUUUAAAGUGGUACGCGAGCUGGGUUUAGAACGUCGUGAGACAGUUCGGUCCCUAUCUGCCGUGGGCGCUGGAGAAUUGAGGGGGGUUGCUCCUAGUACGAGAGGACCGGAGUGAACGCACCACUGGUGUUCGGGUUGUCAUGCCAAUGGCAUUGCCCGGUAGCUAAGUGCGGAAAAGAUAAGUGCUGAAAGCAUCUAAGCACGAAACUUGCCCCGAGAUGAGUUCUCCCUGACUCCUUGAGAGUCCUGAAGGGACGUUGAAGACUACGACGUUGAUAGGCCGGAUGUGUAAGCGCAGCGAUGCGUUGAGCUAACCGGUACUAAUGACCCGUGAGGCUUAACCUU